This 981-nucleotide ribosomal RNA is filed under the name Nocardiopsis sp. 1G83. RNAcentral's name for it is "bacterial SSU rRNA". It matches the Rfam family "Bacterial small subunit ribosomal RNA", at positions 49 to 1034 of the family's 1533-position model. The record is from RNAcentral. Lineage: Bacteria; Bacillati; Actinomycetota; Actinomycetes; Streptosporangiales; Nocardiopsidaceae.
UUACACAUGCAAGUCGAGCGGUAAGGCCCUUCGGGGUACACGAGCGGCGAACGGGUGAGUAACACGUGAGCAACCUGCCCCUGACUCCGGGAUAAGCGGUGGAAACGCCGUCUAAUACCGGAUACGACCCGCCACCUCAUGGUGGAGGGUGGAAAGUUUUUCGGUCAGGGAUGGGCUCGCGGCCUAUCAGCUUGUUGGUGGGGUAACGGCCUACCAAGGCGAUUACGGGUAGCCGGCCUGAGAGGGCGACCGGCCACACUGGGACUGAGACACGGCCCAGACUCCUGCGGGAGGCAGCAGUGGGGAAUAUUGCGCAAUGGGCGAAAGCCUGACGCAGCGACGCCGCGUGGGGGAUGACGGCCUUCGGGUUGUAAACCUCUUUUACCACCAACGCAGGCUCCCAGUUCUCUGGGGGUUGACGGUAGGUGGGGAAUAAGGACCGGCUAACUACGUGCCAGCAGCCGCGGUAAUACGUAGGGUCCGAGCGUUGUCCGGAAUUAUUGGGCGUAAAGAGCUCGUAGGCGGCGUGUCGCGUCUGCUGUGAAAGACCGGGGCUUAACUCCGGUUCUGCAGUGGAUACGGGCAUGCUAGAGGUAGGUAGGGGAGACUGGAAUUCCUGGUGUAGCGGUGAAAUGCGCAGAUAUCAGGAGGAACACCGGUGGCGAAGGCGGGUCUCUGGGCCUUACCUGACGCUGAGGAGCGAAAGCAUGGGGAGCGAACAGGAUUAGAUACCCUGGUAGUCCAUGCCGUAAACGUUGGGCGCUAGGUGUGGGGACUUUCCACGGUUUCCGCGCCGUAGCUAACGCAUUAAGCGCCCCGCCUGGGGAGUACGGCCGCAAGGCUAAAACUCAAAGGAAUUGACGGGGGCCCGCACAAGCGGCGGAGCAUGUUGCUUAAUUCGACGCAACGCGAAGAACCUUACCAAGGUUUGACAUCACCCGUGGACUCGCAGAGAUGUGAGGUCAUUUAGUUGGCGGGUGA